RNAcentral lists this ribosomal RNA (201 nucleotides) under uncultured bacterium. RNAcentral's name for it is "partial 16S ribosomal RNA". It matches the Rfam family "Bacterial small subunit ribosomal RNA", at positions 524 to 725 of the family's 1533-position model. The record is from RNAcentral.
GACGUAGGGCGCGAGCGUUGUCCGGAUUUAUUGGGCGUAAAGAGCUCGUAGGCGGCUUGUCGCGUCGUUCGUGAAAACCUGCAGCUCAACUGCAGGCUUGCGGUCGAUACGGGCAGGCUAGAGUCGGUAGGGAGUGUGGAAUUCCCGGUGUAGCGGUGAAAUGACGCAGAUAGUCGGAGGAACACCGGUGGCGAAGGCGGU